Molecule: small RNA, 127 nt
Filed under: Marmota monax (woodchuck)
Lineage: Eukaryota; Metazoa; Chordata; Mammalia; Rodentia; Sciuridae
Source: RNAcentral
GCCAGGCGCAGUGGUGCACGCCUGUAAUCCCAACGGCUCAGGAGGCUGAGACAGGAGGAUUGUGAGUUCAAAGCCAGCUUCAGUAGACAACAAGGCGCUAAAAAACUCGUUGUAGACCCUGUCUCUA